CAACGCCGCGUGAGGGAUGAAGGCCUCUGGGCUGUAAACCUCUUUUAUCAAGGAAGAAGAUCUGACGGUACUUGAUGAAUAAGCCACGGCUAAUUCCGUGCCAGCAGCCGCGGUAAUACGGGAGUGGCAAGCGUUAUCCGGAAUUAUUGGGCGUAAAGCGUCCGCAGGCGGUCUUGAAAGUCUGUUGUUAAAGCGUGGAGCUCAACUCCAUUUCAGCAAUGGGAACUAGAAGACUAGAGUGUGGUAGGGGCAGAGGGAAUUCCCGGUGUAGCGGUGAAAUGCGUAGAUAU
This 290-nucleotide ribosomal RNA is filed under the name uncultured bacterium. RNAcentral describes it as "partial 16S ribosomal RNA". It matches the Rfam family "Bacterial small subunit ribosomal RNA", at positions 392 to 697 of the family's 1533-position model. The record is from RNAcentral.